AACUCAAUCUCAAAUCAGGUAGGAUUACCCGCUGAACUUAAGCAUAUCAUU
This 51-nucleotide ribosomal RNA is filed under the name uncultured Olpidiaceae. RNAcentral describes it as "partial 25S ribosomal RNA". Lineage: Eukaryota; Fungi; Olpidiomycota; Olpidiomycetes; Olpidiales; Olpidiaceae. The record is from RNAcentral.